This 235-nucleotide long non-coding RNA is filed under the name Elaeis guineensis (African oil palm). RNAcentral's name for it is "long non-coding RNA (EGUI_LNC033211)". Lineage: Eukaryota; Viridiplantae; Streptophyta; Magnoliopsida; Arecales; Arecaceae. The record is from RNAcentral.
CUAGGUGGAUGGUUGAUCAACUGGAGCCACCAUCCAUUUGGGCUUAGGAGGUGCCCGAGAUACUGUUGGCCCCAUGUUGAUCAACUCUGGCCCGGGCAUAGGAGGUGCCUGAGAUACUGUCAGCCCCUGGUUGGUUAGCUCUGAAUCGACAAUCGUGAUGGCAUCAUGAUUGCCUGGUUGCCUAAUUGAUGAAAGAACUUUGACUGGUGGUAGGGCCACUGGAGCCGAUAGGGCA